This 225-nucleotide ribosomal RNA is filed under the name uncultured fungus. Its description in RNAcentral is "partial small subunit ribosomal RNA". The stretch from base 101 to 225 matches the Rfam family "Eukaryotic small subunit ribosomal RNA", at positions 738 to 864 of the family's 1831-position model. The record is from RNAcentral. Lineage: Eukaryota; Fungi.
GACGAACCAAAGUGGCCCGGUUCCUCUCGGUUCUGAGUGCCGCUUUGCGUUUGUCAUCCUUCCAGAGAGCUGCGUCUACCGUUUACUCGGCCGGACGUAUGCGAUCUGGAUCUAUUACUUUGAAAAAAUUAGAGUGUUUAAAGCAGGCUUAUGCUCUGAAUACAUUAGCAUGGAAUAAUAAUUUAGGACUUUGGUUCUAUUUUGUUGGUUUCUAGGACUGAAGUA